This 465-nucleotide ribosomal RNA is filed under the name uncultured bacterium. RNAcentral's name for it is "partial 16S ribosomal RNA". It matches the Rfam family "Bacterial small subunit ribosomal RNA", at positions 28 to 507 of the family's 1533-position model. The record is from RNAcentral.
GAUGAACGCUGGCAGCGUGCUUAACACAUGCAAGUCGAACGGAAAGGCUCCUGCUUGCAGGGGUACUCGAGUGGCGAACGGGUGAGUAACACGUGGGUGAUCUGCCCUGCACUUCGGGAUAAGCCUGGGAAACUGGGUCUAAUACCGGAUAGGACGAUGGUUUGGAUGCCAUUGUGGAAAGUUUUUCGGUGUGGGAUGAGCUCGCGGCCUAUCAGCUUGUUGGUGGGGUAAUGGCCUACCAAGGCGUCGACGGGUAGCCGGCCUGAGAGGGGGUACGGCCACAUUGGGACUGAGAUACGGCCCAGACUCCUACGGGAGGCAGCAGUGGGGAAUAUUGCACAAUGGGCGCAAGCCUGAUGCAGCGACGCCGCGUGGGGGAUGACGGCCUUCGGGUUGUAAACUACUUUCGCUAGGGACGAAGCGCAAGUGACGGUACCUGGAGAAGAAGCACCGGCUAACUACGUG